GUUUUAGUCACUGUACAAGCGUUAUUGAGGCCCUGCCAGGUACUUGGUGUUAGCGCUUGGAAGAUGCCAAGGUGAUGCAGAAAGCCUGGUCAUCUAAGAGUUAAACUGAAGGCCUAAUUCAUGGGCUCUGUAGUCAGGGCUAGACUGGUUUAAAUUUCAUCACUUGAAUCCUGUAUUUUGGUUAUCAGGCAGGUGAAUACUCUGUGUUCGCAGGAGAGGACACACCCCGGUAGGAGGCCAGCCAGAGGGGUUCAGCAGCACACCCCCAGCGGCUGGAGGGGACCCAAGCGGCAUCCAUUUUGGGAACAGGGGCAGGCUCCUCUGAGGCCCUCAGAACAUCGACUGACCCGGGGAAAUGAGAAGAGUCACCUGGUGUUCGCCACGAGUCACCAGGAUGUGACGAAGUUACAGAAAGCCUAUCUGAUUUUAUUGUGGAAGACUUCAUUUAGCAGAGAUUUUCACUUUAGAGAAACUUAAAAAACAUCCCCCCCUGUGUUGAAUGAGAGACCUCUACACUGAGGAGGGGAUAUGAAUAUGCGCGUAAGCAACAGAAAUGCUGGUUUGGAAGCCAAGAAUUUUGCUUGUUAUCUGGUAUGUGAACUUGAACCACCAAAUGAUAGAAUGUUUUAAAGUAGAUUCUUUCUUAAAGAGAGAAAUCAUCUCCUAAGAAAAUCUCUGCCAGGGAGGACACUAUUUUAACCGUCUUCGUAUCACCAACCUGCCCAGCUCAGAGCUUAGAAUAUAAAACACGCUCAAAACAUAUUUUUUGUGUGGGAAUUUUGAUCGUGGUACUCAAACCUGCACGUGCCAUUUCUUUACCUACAAUGGGCAAUAGUGGCUUUGUUCAAAUGACAUUUUCCCUGCUCUCGGUGGUAAUUAAUGCUCAGUUCAGACUGCGCUGUUUGGAUGAAGAAAUCUGAACAAUAGCUAGACAAGACAAAGCCUGUUAAAUCUUAGGCAGGUUUCUCCGUCUACUAAUGCGGUUUAGAAUUAUACAUCAGGAGCAUUGUAUACCAGAAGAGUAUUGAUUGCAUUUCAGAUAAUGCAAUUUACAGUUAAUAUGAUGGUUAGGCUGGUCCAGGGAAAUAUUUGUUUUGUUCAAUAAUGUUAGACAGAAAACAUACAUUUUAAUAAAUACUGCAUGAGAACAAUCCUUUAGGGUGAA
This 1165-nucleotide long non-coding RNA is filed under the name Bos indicus x Bos taurus (hybrid cattle). Its description in RNAcentral is "lncRNA (ENSBIXG00000023853.1)". The record is from RNAcentral. Lineage: Eukaryota; Metazoa; Chordata; Mammalia; Artiodactyla; Bovidae.